UGGGGAAUAUUGCACAAUGGGGGAAACCCUGAUGCAGCGACGCCGCGUGAACGAAGAAGGUAUUCGUAUCGUAAAGUUCUGUCCUAUGGGAAGAUAAUGACAGUACCAUAGAAGAAAGCUCCGGCUAAAUACGUGCCAGCAGCCGCGGUAAUACGUAUGGAGCGAGCGUUGUCCGGAAAUAUUGGGCGUAAAGGGUACGCAGGCGGUUUAAUAAGUCGAAUGUUAAAGAUCGGGGCUCAACCCCGCAAAGCAUUGGAAACUGAUAAACUUGAGUAGUGGAGAGGAAAGUGGAAUUCCUAGUGUAGUGGAGAAAUACGUAGAUAUUAGGAGGAAUACCAGUAGCGAAGGCGACUUUCUGGACACAAACUGACGCUGAGGUACGAAAGCGUGGGGAGCAAACAGG
RNAcentral lists this ribosomal RNA (403 nucleotides) under bacterium. Its description in RNAcentral is "partial 16S ribosomal RNA". It matches the Rfam family "Bacterial small subunit ribosomal RNA", at positions 355 to 776 of the family's 1533-position model. The record is from RNAcentral.